Molecule: small RNA, 111 nt
Filed under: pig gut metagenome
Description: ydaO/yuaA leader
Rfam family: c-di-AMP riboswitch aptamer (ydaO/yuaA leader)
About the family: This family represents a conserved RNA structure found upstream of the ydaO and yuaA genes in Bacillus subtilis and related genes in other bacteria.
Source: RNAcentral
ACCGAAUCCGCCCGGGGAGCGGGGGAACCACUUAUUUGGGGUGAACGGCAUUGCCGAGGCUGUUUCUCUGGCCUAACCCGUCAGCUAACCUCGCAGGUGAAGAGAGAGGAG